This 445-nucleotide ribosomal RNA is filed under the name uncultured bacterium. RNAcentral describes it as "bacterial SSU rRNA". It matches the Rfam family "Bacterial small subunit ribosomal RNA", at positions 54 to 505 of the family's 1533-position model. The record is from RNAcentral.
CAUGCAAGUCGAACGGGGAACAUUUUAAAGAAGCUUCGGCAGAUUUAGUUUGUUCCUAGUGGCGGACGGGUGAGUAACGCGUGGGUAACCUGCCUCACACUGGGGGAUAACAGUCAGAAAUGACUGCUAAUACCGCAUAAGCGCACAGAGCCGCAUGGCUCAGUGUGAAAAACUCCGGUGGUGUGAGAUGGACCCGCGUUGGAUUAGCCAGUUGGCAGGGUAACGGCCUACCAAAGCGACGAUCCAUAGCCGGCCUGAGAGGGUGGACGGCCACAUUGGGACUGAGACACGGCCCAGACUCCUACGGGAGGCAGCAGUGGGGAAUAUUGCACAAUGGGGGAAACCCUGAUGCAGCGACGCCGCGUGAAGGAAGAAGUAUCUCGGUAUGUAAACUUCUAUCAGCAGGGAAGAAAAUGACGGUACCUGACUAAGAGUCCGAYMUUCG